RNAcentral lists this ribosomal RNA (433 nucleotides) under uncultured bacterium. RNAcentral describes it as "partial 16S ribosomal RNA". It matches the Rfam family "Bacterial small subunit ribosomal RNA", at positions 29 to 507 of the family's 1533-position model. The record is from RNAcentral.
AACGAACGCUGGCGGCAUGCCUAACACAUGCCAGUCGAACGAGACCUUCGGGUCUAGUGGCGCACGGGUGCGUAACGCGUCGGAACCUGCCCUUAGGUUCGGAAUAACUCCCCGAAAGGGGUGCUAAUACCGGAUAAUUUCUUCGGACCAAAGAUUUAUCGCCUUUGGAUGGGCCCGCGUUGGAUUAGCUAGUUGGUAGGGUAAAAGCCUACCAAGGCGACGAUCCAUAGCUGGUCUGAGAGGAUGAUCAGCCACACUGGGACUGAGACACGGCCCAGACUCCUACGGGAGGCAGCAGUGGGGAAUAUUGGACAAUGGGCGAAAGCCUGAUCCAGCAAUGCCGCGUGAGUGAUGAAGGCCUUAGGGUUGUAAAGCUCUUUUACCCGGGAUGAUAAUGACAGUACCGGGAGAAUAAGCGCCGGCUAACUCCGUG